GACAGAGGGUGCAAACGUUGUUCGGAAUUACUGGGCGUAAAGCGCGUGUAGGCGGCCAACUAAGUCGGGCGUGAAAUCCCACGGCUCAACCGUGGAAGUGCACUCGAAACUGGAUGGCUAGAGUCCUGGAGAGGAAGGUGGAAUGCUUGGUGUAGAGGUGAAAUUCGUAGAUAUCAAGCGGAACACCGGUGGCGAAGGCGGCCUUCUGGACAGUGACUGACGCUGAGACGCGAAAGCGUGGGGAAGCAAACAGG
This 254-nucleotide ribosomal RNA is filed under the name uncultured bacterium. RNAcentral's name for it is "partial 16S ribosomal RNA". It matches the Rfam family "Bacterial small subunit ribosomal RNA", at positions 524 to 776 of the family's 1533-position model. The record is from RNAcentral.